This is a long non-coding RNA of Suricata suricatta (meerkat), 2345 nucleotides long. RefSeq lists it as uncharacterized. The transcript has 2 exons. The record is from RefSeq and is a predicted model, not a curated record. NCBI's taxonomy places the organism in Eukaryota, Metazoa, Chordata, Mammalia, Carnivora, Herpestidae.
GAGAUCAUGACCUAAGCCCAAGUCAAGAGCUGACGCUUAACUGACUGAGCCCCCCAGGCACCCCUCCUUAGACUCUCCAAUGUCAUCCACCUUCACUCACAGGCAACCAAGUGAAAUCUUCUCUAUUAUUCUUCUCCUUUACAGAUGGAGAAACUGAGGCCCAGAAAGGUGAGGGUGAGGUGAUCUACCCAAGGACACACAGCUAGAAAGGGGCCCAGACGCACACAUUCAAGUCCAAGCUCUGGGUCGUAGCCUGGUUCCUUUCUGCAAACUCAGGGUGCCCUGCUCCCCCACACCACCGGUCGCCAACCCCCACUACUGCCCAAGACUAGUGCCACCUCUGGGCACAAUCACUCACGAUAUACUGUGAUGACCGAGGAGCCUGUCAUCUGGAUGCCAUUGCAGAAGCCGGAGCAGAGGAUCAGGCUGUCACUAGUCACGUCGCUGAGCUCGAAGGCUGCCCAGCGCAGGCCACUGCCCACGGGCUUCUUGAGUAGGGAGGUCUCUAGGGUGAUAACUCUGGGGUUGGGGCAAUCGGUGCUGCAGUUUACCACGAAGGACCCUCCCGCAGGCCCCACGGGGCGGGGGAGCUCCGCCCUCAGUGAGAACUCCUGGCCCUGGGCACCUGUGGGAACAGAGGGACGCCGCUGCUGGUCCCAGUGCCAGUCCGCCCACCCGCAGCCCGCAUCUUCUACCGCCACCUCCCUGCCUUCACGGUGCUUCUGUCGGGGGGGGGGGGGGGAGAAAGAUGAUUGAUCAGGAGCUAGGGGAAGUCCCCGAGGAAGGCUAGGGGACAUCCUGAGCCAGACUGUAGGAGAAGAGGUGUCAGGGAAGGCUCCCUGAAGGAGGGGACAGACAGGGCCAGUUCGGAAGGGAAAGUAGGAAUUGAUUAUCUGAGUGAAGGGAAGUGAUCCUGGCGGAGGCAAAAGGAGAGACGGGUCCAGGAAGGGACUGUGUGUGUUUGUGUGUGUGUGUGUGUGUGUGUGUGUGUGUGUGUUGGGGGAAGGGGACAAGGCACAUGCAGGGCAGCCCUGAAGGCUAAGUUAAGGAAGCUGUAACUUUCUGUUGAGGCCGCUGAUGAGCCCGUCAGGUGGGAGUUUAAGGAAGUGUUGAGGCAGCCAGGCCACAGGAUGUGGGGAGCUUUGCUUUCUCCAUCCCCUCCCCCCGCAGCGAGCCCCCAACUCCAGCCCUCCCCAGUCUGACUCGCCUCACCUGGGGGCAGCAGACAGCAGACCAGGAGCAGGGAGCUGAGCAGCAGCCCCGCAGGCGACAUGGUGGCUGACCUACAGAAGGAAGUGCCUCAAUGAGGGACAGGCCAGUCAGGAGCAGGCGGGGCACCCCUGCGACGGAAGCUCGGCCGCGGGGGUGAAAAUUACAGAAGUCCGGGGGCUGCUCUGCCCUGACCCGGGGAAAGGCGGGGGAGAUGUUCAGUGGCCCAGAGGGUCCAGAGUGGGGGACCUAGCGACGUGGAGGGUGCUGAUGAGUCUGGACUGGGCAAGACCUGACUUCACACCCCUGGCCUCUCAAUGCACUGACAGGAAAUGCUAACAGGCUUUGUUCUCAGCACAAGGAAGCCUGGGGUGCCGUGGAGGAGGUGAUGAGACACCUCCUUCCUGCUGAACCUGGGUGAAGGGGGGGGUGUCCUGUCUCCAGAGAGGAAGCUAACAGGGGAUCUCCUGACACACUCUGUCCUUAAGGUGAGAAGGUGGGGUUUCAAGGCACCAUUUCAAGAUGACAGUGGGGGGACCUCUAGGCAGGGUCCAAAAGCAUAGUGUGAGAUCUCAUUAUUUCUUGGGAGGGAGCAAAUAAGAGAUUUGGGGGUGAUAAUUGAGGGACCCCCUAAGAUGAGGAAAGACACGAGAAAGGACAAGCCUCCCUGUGUCGGGGCCUUGUGCCCGGCUGUGUUGACUGUCAGACACCCCAUUCCCUGUGCCGUGCUGAGGCGGGCUGCUUGGGGUACAGCUGAGUCCUGAGUCAGCAUCUGUCGAGGACGCUGCUUGUAACUGGCCCUUACCCCUGCCCUCAACCCCCCUUGCCCACCCCUGCAGGCAGCUGGUUUCUCCAUCCCAAGGGGCUGGGGGGUCGGAGGGGAGGGACACUAGUACUUCCAUUUGCUCCAUCUCUCCAGCGUCUCCUUCCUUCCCUCGUGCCCCUGAUCAGAGCUCCACAGAAGGACUGGCUGAGGCCCUUGAUAGCAUCCAGCACCCCCCCCACUCCCCCCAUCCUGAGACCACGCCCCCUCCCCCCUCAGCUGAAGCAUCUCCCCCCUCCAGUCGGUCCCCCCCACCUCCCAAUCUGUUUCCCACCAAGUCCAGCGAGAUUGACUAAAAGCAAAUUCAAAAGUA